GACGAACGCUGGCGGCGUGCUUAACACAUGCAAGUCGAACGGAAAGGCCCUGCUUUUGUGGGGUGCUCGAGUGGCGAACGGGUGAGUAACACGUGAGUAACAUGCCCUUGACUUUGGGAUAACUUCAGGAAACUGGGGCUAAUACCGGAUAGGAGCUCCUGCUGCAUGGUGGGGGUUGGAAAGUUUCGGCGGUUGGGGAUGGACUCGCGGCUUAUCAGCUUGUUGGUGGGGUAGUGGCUUACCAAGGCUUUGACGGGUAGCCGGCCUGAGAGGGUGACCGGCCACAUUGGGACUGAGAUACGGCCCAGACUCCAACGGGAGGCAGCAGUGGGGAAUAUUGCACAAUGGGCGGAAGCCUGAUGCAGCAACGCCGCGUGCGGGAUGACGGCCUUCGGGUUGUAAACCGCUUUCGCCUGUGAUGAAGCGUGAGUGACGGUAAUGGGUAAAGAAGCACCGGCUAACUACGUG
Molecule: ribosomal RNA, 468 nt
Filed under: uncultured bacterium
Lineage: Bacteria
Description: partial 16S ribosomal RNA
Rfam family: Bacterial small subunit ribosomal RNA
Source: RNAcentral